Molecule: long non-coding RNA, 714 nt
Organism: Papaver somniferum (opium poppy)
Lineage: Eukaryota; Viridiplantae; Streptophyta; Magnoliopsida; Ranunculales; Papaveraceae
Exons: 8
Source: RefSeq, a predicted model, not a curated record
CAUCGCUCUAACCUAACUAUACUUCAGCCUCACUAUCUCUCUCCUAGCGCCUCUCUUAUCUAUCUUCUUCAUCGACCUCUAAACCGAUACAGAAAAAUACCCAGAAGAAAUCUCUUAAAUUAUUGCUCUAAACCCAACCCCUUUCUCCCCAUCUUCUUUAUCUCCUCGACAAAAUCGAGUUCUCCAGUAAACCUUAUUCUAAACAGGGUUUGUUGUUGAGGUUGUUCUCCUUCUAUACAGCAAAGAGGGGUUCACUAUUAUGGUAUUUCUCCCUUUCUACAGCAAAAAGGGGUAGCUGUUAAGGUCUUUCUCCAUACAAAAAGGGGCAACAAGAUGAUGAAUUGGAUGAGUUCAGUGAAAAUGUGCAAAGAACUUGAGGUGUGGAGCUCACUUUACACAAAGAAACUACUUAACAGGACAUGUACAAGCAUGUGAAUGAUGGUUCUUGACUGAAGGCCCCUCUUAUUUCUAAUGGUAACUAUAAGAUAAUUAUGAAGGAGAAGAUUUGUUGUGUGUUGCUGCUGACCAACUUUUUCACUUUCCUGCCACCUUCAUAUUUGUCGUCCGAACAUUUUCCGGUCGAUGAAAACUUCUGAUAUUGUCUGUCGUCUAUGCAUCCUUCGUAUAUCUCUUACUUGCGAUAUGAUGUGUUCGCCAGCUAUGCACUGGAAUUGCUAAGAUUUCGGGAGGCUGGUGCUGAAGUUGCCAUAAAGG